CCUACGGGUGGCAGCAGUAAGGGAUAUUGGUCAAUGGGGGAAACCCUGAACCAGCAACGCCGCGUGAGGGAAGACGGUUUUCGGAUUGUAAACCUCUGUCCUCUGUGAAGAUGAUGACGGUACCAGAGGAGGAAGCUCCGGCUAACUACGUGCCAGCAGCCGCGGUAAUACGUAGGAUGCGAGCGUUAUCCGGAUUUAUUGGGUUUAAAGGGUGCGCAGGCGGAAGAUCAAGUCAGCGGUAAAAUUGAGAGGCUCAACCUCUUCGAGCCGUUGAAACUGGUUUUCUUGAGUGAGCGAGAAGUAUGCGGAAUGCGUGGUGUAGCGGUGAAAUGCAUAGAUAUCACGCAGAACUCCGAUUGCGAAGGCAGCAUACCGGCGCUCAACUGACGCUCAUGCACGAAAGUGUGGGUAUCGAACAGGAUUAGAUACCCGUGUAGUC
RNAcentral lists this ribosomal RNA (439 nucleotides) under uncultured bacterium. RNAcentral describes it as "partial 16S ribosomal RNA". It matches the Rfam family "Bacterial small subunit ribosomal RNA", at positions 338 to 795 of the family's 1533-position model. The record is from RNAcentral.